UGCUGCAUGGCUGUCGUCAGCUCGUGUCGUGAGAUGUUCGGUUAAGUCCGCUAACGAGCGCAAACCCUCGCUGUGUGUUACAUGUGUCACACGGGACUGCCGGUAACAAGCCGGAGGAAGGUGAGGAUGAUGUCAAGUCAGCAUGGCCCUUUAUAUCCUGGGCUACACACACGCUACAAUGGGCAGGUACAAUAGGUUGCGAAGCCGCGAGGCGAAGCCAAUCCCUAAAGCUGUCCUCAGUUCAGAUUGCAGGCUGCAACCCGCCUGCAUGAAGAUGGAGUUGCUAGUAACCGCAGGUCAGCUAUACUGCGGUGAUACGUUCCGGGUU
RNAcentral lists this ribosomal RNA (328 nucleotides) under uncultured Leptolinea sp. RNAcentral's name for it is "bacterial SSU rRNA". It matches the Rfam family "Bacterial small subunit ribosomal RNA", at positions 1039 to 1377 of the family's 1533-position model. The record is from RNAcentral. Lineage: Bacteria; Bacillati; Chloroflexota; Anaerolineae; Anaerolineales; Anaerolineaceae.